AGAGACUCCCUUCCCACCCUCUGUGUGCCAAAAUAGUGUGUCAGCCGCUCGGCUUAAGAGAUUUCCUGUCUUGGAAACCCCCAAGUGCCAUUUUCCUUAGCAGAUUCAGCCGGCUCAAGCCCCAGCCAGGAGAAGAGUUGGGAAUGAAGUCAGCCUGAGUGCGCAGCUACAGCUGUAGCCAAAGAGCAGUGAGACAUUGCUGCCCACAGUCCUUUGUCUGCCUGCCCCCUCUCCUGAAGCACCAACACCCCUCCUUCCUAGAGCCAAUGGAAUUGUUCUGCCUGCAGGUGCUGCAGGAACAAUGACCGAUUCUCCAUGCGCCUGUUCAUCCCCCACCAGGAGAACAGAUGCUACCACACUUCAGCA
Molecule: long non-coding RNA, 366 nt
Filed under: Mus pahari (shrew mouse)
Lineage: Eukaryota; Metazoa; Chordata; Mammalia; Rodentia; Muridae
Description: lncRNA (MGP_PahariEiJ_G0006103.1)
Source: RNAcentral